GGACCACAUCUAGGGCACUGUUGCUGAAGCCUCUGCAUAGAACUUUCUAAAGAAAGCUGGGGAGGAAAUAGUCUGAAGUGCAAAAGAAGAAAAAACACAAAAUGAACCAGCACUUCCAAGGUCAGGGUCUUUUCAAGAUUCUCUUCGUGUAAUCUGCUGGGAAGAGCCGUGUUCAGACUGCAAUACUGCGGGAGUCACUAGAGAUGCUACCACCAACAAUGGUCUUAAUGGUUCUGAGCGGUACGGAAGCGGGGACUCCCUGGAAGAUUUAUGAAAACAUAAGUGACUGUUCUCUCUAAUUAACCCCGUACAGUAUGAUCAUCUGUCUGCAUCAGUGCUCUCCACAGAGCCCGCAGUGGACACUGCCCGGACCAGUAGCUCUGCUCAGCUGUCAGAGGAAAGCCAAGCAUGACAAGCCGCGGCGCAUCGGGAGUAUAGGUAGCAUGGGGAGAAGACCGGUGUGCCUCUGCACCAUUAAUUACGUAGUAUCGUCCCGCACAGAGAAGUAGGAAAGGCAGAGGGCAAAAAAGCCCUUGGAACAUGUGUCUUCUUUUCUCUCUGAUGCAUUUCCAGAGCUGACUGUCUGAGAGGAAAACAGAUUUUCAAAAAAGGACACAUCAUACUUUCCUCCUCCUUCCCUCAGUACCCUGCUUCAUAACUGUCAAAUUAGGAAGUGCUCCUAGUCUUUUAUUCAGACUGCCAUUAAUAGGUGAUAAAUCUUUCAGCAUAGUGGUCAUUAAGAGCACGGGCUCAGGAAUUGAUGUCUGGGAUUGAAGUCUCGCUCUACCACUCACUAGCUGUGUGAUUUUACCUCACUUACUAAACCUCUCUGUGCCUAAGCAUGUUUACCUAUAAAAUGGAAAUAAUAGUAGCUACUCUAUAGCUACUGUGAAUCAUGCUGAUCAGUACAAGUCCCCAGCACACAGUGACUAAAUAAAUGCCCAACUCCAUUAUACUGUGAACUUCACCAAGUGUUGAAAGAGUGACUCCAUCUGAUUUGUGAUGCCUGAUUGAAAGGGACAGAAAGUACAGAGGGAACUAUACUCUUCUUCCCAUGUCCCUGCCUCUCUCCACCCUUACUGGCUCCUCUGACUAGAAAAAUGUUCCCUAUACACGUGCCAUCUGGCCCCUCUCUUGAGCUUCUGGGAGUCUUCUCUGUUUUCAGGCUCUCCCUCUUUUCUCUCCUGUUUCCCAAGGGCUAAUCCAUACAUGGGCUAUCCAGAUGCUCUGUUUGAGUCUAAGGAGGUACUUUAAAAUCUGUUCCUCCCUGGAAGCUACCUGGAAUGAAAACCAGAGCAGCCCAAAGAUAGGUGCCAUCAGGCUCUCGAAUGAGUCCCAACAGAUUCCAGGACACCACCUAGGACCACUUAGUAGUUGGCCAUUGGGUAUGAUCUUAAGGGGACUCCAUGCUUGUCAUUUUUCUGUACUGUCUGCUGCUAUGUGCACACGCAUAAAGAGCAAUUCUUGAUGGAGCACCUAAAGAACAGAAAUGUUUUCCUUGCUUCACAAGCUGGGAACACAUUCUGUAAAGAACUCCUGGUAAGUCCAGCAGGAAAGGAUUAUGGCUAAGAGCGAACAAUUCAGUGCUUAUUGCUGGCACAUGUCAUACAUCAGUAUCACGAUGCAUUACACUUCAAUGUACUAAAUUCUAUAAAGGAUAUUCUACAAAGGAAUUCUAUAAAGAACUAUAAAGUUCAGUGAAAGGAACUGGGCCUGUUCAUUUCAAAUAUUGCUUAUUAACAGCUGUAACAGCUACCGAUUAUUUUCAGACUAACAGAUACUUCAUAUGAGAAGAUCCACAACAAGCGUUUUCAAAUACAACAGUUAUGAGGAAAAGCUUCUGUUCUGGCCCAGUGAAUUUUCUACCCUGAAACCAUGUUGAAUAUAUUAAUUUAGGAUUAGGAAGCAUGGAAACAACUUCUAUAGCACAAUGCUGGAGAUUUCAUUUUUCUGGCUGCAAAUGCCCAUAAAUCUUUCCACGGUUUGCUUUAUGUCCGAUCCCAAAUAACUUUUUCCUAUAGACUUUUAGUUAUUACUCUUGCCUGUCUAGCUCAUGUUUCCCUCUUUCCUACCAAAUUCCUUUCAUGUUUUAUCCUAAUUUUUUUCUAAAACACUUAAAACUCACUAGUCAUUAGUCACCUCUAAAAUGUUUGGACAGCACGAGUAUCAUCAUGUUACCACUGCUCAAGCGACCCCACCCUACAGCUCAUGUGCACACUUUCUCCAUACGUGAUACAUCCUAAAAUGUAGGGAGUGAACCCAGAUGUAGAAGUGGAGAGUAAAUACACACACAGGCACACACUCUCAUGGGGUAAAGACAGGGCCUCUAAAGCCAGACUUGCUGAGCUGAAGCUUAACUUUCUAAUUUACCGGCUAUGUAACCAGGAAUAGGUACUCAGCCUUGCUUUGCUUCAGUUUUCUCAUCUGUGAAAUGGGGACACAAAGAGUAUCCACACCACAGAGCUGUUCUGAGAUUUAGGUUAGUUAACAAAUGCCAAGCACUUAGAAUGGUGUCCUGGCAUAUAACAUUAGUUACUGGCAUAUGCGCCCACACACUGGAUCCUGUCAAAUGUCAAUCCCAGCAACGUUUUAUUAAUAGGCAUCAUUUUUAACCUUUACUUCUGUCCUUUAUCAGUCAAAUGAUCAUGAAACUGCAUAUUGAUGAUCUUCAUUCCCUUGGGAACCAAAAUUUACUCCAUAUAUUUUAUUAUUAAAUUACUGAAUUCUUGUUUCUGAACAUCAGUAAUAAUUUGUUACCUCUCAAUUACUGCCUACAAAAUUGAUUAUUCACAAUACUUCAUUCCUGGAUAAGCAUGAACCCCAGAGCGAUGUAUUACCGUAACUGCCUCAAUGGCCAAUAUGAGACAGCUGCUGGUUUGAACAAUUCUCCCCUCCUUUCUUUCCUAGGGUAAAGGCAUCUUAUUUCUCUGUUGUGAAUAAUAAUAAUUAAAAAAAAAAAAAAAAAAGGUAAAAAUCAGUUAAGCCUCUGACUUAGGCUCAGGUCAUGGUAUCACAGCUUGUGAGUUCAAGCCCUGCAUUGGGCUCUGUGCUGACAGCUCAGAGCCUGGACUGCUUUGGAUUCUGUCUGUCUCUCUCUGUCUCUGUCUCUGUCUCUG
Neofelis nebulosa (Clouded leopard) is the source of this 3116-nucleotide long non-coding RNA. RefSeq lists it as uncharacterized. The record is from RefSeq and is a predicted model, not a curated record. The transcript has 6 exons. NCBI's taxonomy places the organism in Eukaryota, Metazoa, Chordata, Mammalia, Carnivora, Felidae.